AUGAACAAGACCCCUCUGACUUUUCUCUGCUGCCCGCAUCCCUUGAAACAGUGUCCGAUGGGGUGUGUCUUCAACCUUGCGCCACGCAAGCCUUCGUUGGACAGAAGUGUUCAUUGUUCCCUCUCUUUGCAUAACAGAAUCAAUCAUCCUGAGCUCCUUCGUCCCGAUGGCCCUGGGAGAAACAGAGAGGGCGAUUUCUGCCACGGACCAGAGUGGGAUCUUCACCACAAAGGAAACAUCACAAAUCUCCCAGUUUUGUCAGUGAUCACUAAGAUCACAACCUCCACCCUUGUUUCCUUACCACUUAAUUAUUGGGUGGGGGGGUUAGAUCCUCAGGGAAAAGGGUUGGGACCAGACUUUCUUUCCCGAGUGCCAUUGCUUCAGCCAAAGUUUGAGUCCCACACAGCUUCUUUGAAGUGUGGGGGAAAAACAACAAACGGGGGAUCCCAUUGUGAAUCCUUCACAUCGCAUGGAGUUUGGUCCCUCAUAACUAGGCCUCAAGCCUGUUUCUGGAAUGUUC
Molecule: long non-coding RNA, 520 nt
Filed under: Podarcis muralis (Common wall lizard)
Lineage: Eukaryota; Metazoa; Chordata; Lepidosauria; Squamata; Lacertidae
Description: lncRNA (ENSPMRG00000010101.1)
Source: RNAcentral